Molecule: long non-coding RNA, 187 nt
Organism: Fukomys damarensis (Damara mole-rat)
Lineage: Eukaryota; Metazoa; Chordata; Mammalia; Rodentia; Bathyergidae
Exons: 3
Source: RefSeq, a predicted model, not a curated record
CCCUGAUACAGGCAUGAGACACAAGUAGAAGUGAUGCAGAAGAUGUACCUAUGUUCAUCUCUUCAGAAAAUGCUACAGGUACUGGGGAUCAACUCUAGGGCCUUAUAUAUACUAUACAUACUUCAAAAGUACCUCAAAUCGUAUAUAAUAACUGAACGGCUGGAAACUCUCAGUGAAGAAGCAGGGG